This 2544-nucleotide ribosomal RNA is filed under the name Triticum aestivum (bread wheat). RNAcentral describes it as "partial small subunit ribosomal RNA". Lineage: Eukaryota; Viridiplantae; Streptophyta; Magnoliopsida; Poales; Poaceae. The record is from RNAcentral.
AUGAAGGGCCUGUGGAAGCAGAGCGGGCUGGCGGCCAUGGCGUGCGCCAACACGGACCAGCUCGGCCCGUCCGGCGCCGGGGCGGGACGCUCCCGCAGGCGCGCGAGGCUCGUGGUGUACGCCCUCGCGGUGGCCUUCGCCGCAUUGACCGCCUACAUCGCCCUCUGCUCGCCCGCGGCCCCCGCCGGCGCGGGCGUCGGUGGGGGCGGGGACGGAGCCUCGUGGUUCGACGGCGUGUACGCUUCCACGGCGCCGUACCGCUCGCAGGUAUCGACCUUCUUCUCCUCCAUCUUCCCCACCAACUCGUCCGCCCCCUCGCCCGAGCCGCCUCGCCGCGACGGCGGUGGCUCGGCCGGCGGAUCGAGCGAGGGGGGCGGCGAGGUGAAUCGCGAUGUGGAUGGUAAGCGAGUCGGAAGCGGAGCAGGGAGCAGUAAUUCCGCUACGGCUGGGUCUGAGAAGCAGUUGGGGAGUGGAGGUAGUGCGCCAAGCAGCAAUGCCGCCGGUGGCAGUGCACCGUCAGCCGUGAACCCAGCGGGAGGUGGCACGGCCGCCGCCAAGAGCGAUUCUCCGACGAAUAAUCCUGCCACAAGUGGCAGUGCGCCGGUUAGUUCGGCAGAUCGGAAUAAAGGUAACUCUACUGGAGGCGGUUCUAGUAGCCAGGCAGGGGGUGGUGGUGGAUCCCCAACCAGUGAUUCAGCCGGAGAAAGAACCGUGGCGAAGGCCGACGAGGAGAGUGAUGGAUCAAAUAAGCAGUCGGGAAGCGUAGCUCCGACGAAUAAUGGCGCCGCUGGAAAUGUCAGCGCGGUGAAGGCUGACACCAAGGAUUCAGUUGUAGUCUCUGCCGGAGAUGGCAGCACCGCGAAGUCUGAUUCCAAAAUUGGGUCUGAUAGUCAGGCAGUGACUGCAGGCGGUGCUCCGAGCAGUGGUUCUGCUGCUGGAAAUAGCACCACAGCGAAGGCUGGUGGAAAGGAUUCAGUUGGUGCGGCGAGCAGUGGCUCGGCCGCAACUGACACAGUUGUGAAGGCUGAUCCAAAUAAUGAGUCUGAUGGUGCAUCAGGGAGUGGAAAUGUAGAUGAAACCAAUAAAUCAGCACCAAGUGCUACUCCAGUGAAGAGCAAUGCUGAAGAUGGAGGAAUUCAGCGCGAUAAAGCGAGUGGGAAUGUGGCUUCAACUAGUAAUCAGACUGCAGUGGCAGGGGAGAAGGAAGAUGGAUCUUCAACCAAGAACCAGACCCUUGUAACAUCUCCAAUUGCGACGAAACAGAACCAGACGAGUGUACCUUCUUCUGUUGGAAGUGGUAGUGCUGUGAAUAAGAAGGAAACAACUCCCCAGGUUAGUGCAGGUUCACUGAAGGAUCAUUCAUCCCAAACAAUCGCCGCAAAAGCUGGGAAUCACAGCGAAGUUCUGGUCAAGGGGAACGUGUCAUCAACUAAACAAGCCGGUGGUGCCAGUGGAAAUAAGAAGGUUGACUGGAUAAAGGAGAUGGCCGGCUGUGACAUGUUCCAUGGGAACUGGGUUCGGGACGACUCGUACCCUCUCUACCCCGGGGGAUCGUGUCCUCACAUUGAUGAACCCUUCGACUGCCAUCUCAAUGGUCGGCCGGACCGAGCUUAUGAGAAGCUCCGGUGGCAACCCAGUGGAUGCAACAUCCCAAGAUUGAAUCCAACCGACAUGUUGGAGAGGCUGAGGGGGAAAAGACUAGUUUUUGUUGGCGAUUCACUCAACAGGAACAUGUGGGAAUCUCUGGUUUGUAUAUUGAGGCAUUCUGUCAAGGACAAGAGGAAGGUUUUUGAGGCUUCUGGUAGGCGCGAGUUUAAGACCGAGGGCUCAUACUCUUUCCUGUUCACGGACUACAACUGCAGUGUGGAGUUCUUCCGCUCUCCUUUCCUAGUUCAAGAGUGGGAGACACGAGUCAGCAAUGGAAAUAAAAAGGAAACCCUUAGGCUUGACAUUGUCGAGCAAUCAUCACCAAAGUACAAGGAUGCAGACUUCAUCAUUUUCAAUACUGGACACUGGUGGACACAUGAAAAAACUGCCCUAGGGAAGGACUAUUACCAGGAAGGUAGUCACAUAUAUAGUGAGUUAAAUGUCGUGGACGCCUUUCAUAAAGCCCUUAUCACCUGGUCCAGAUGGAUUGACGGCAACGUAAAUCCCAAGAAAACCACUGUGAUGUUCAGAGGCUACUCAGCGUCUCAUUUCAGUGGCGGGCAAUGGAAUUCAGGAGGCAGCUGCGACAAGGAGACCGAACCAAUAAAAAAUGAACAAUACCUUUCAACCUACCCACCAAAGAUGAGCAUUUUGGAGGAUGUGAUCCACAAGAUGAGAACCCCGGUUGUUUACUUGAACAUAACAAGAUUGACGGACUAUAGAAAGGAUGCACACCCCUCGAUCUACCGCAAGCAACACCUGAGCGAGGAGGAGAGGAGGUCGCCUGAGAGAUACCAGGACUGCAGCCACUGGUGUCUCCCCGGGGUACCGGAUUCCUGGAACGAGCUGGUUUACGCCCAACUUUUGAUCAGUCAGCAUCAGAUGCUCCAACAGUAA